Molecule: ribosomal RNA, 443 nt
Filed under: uncultured bacterium
Lineage: Bacteria
Description: partial 16S ribosomal RNA
Rfam family: Bacterial small subunit ribosomal RNA
Source: RNAcentral
CCUACGGGUGGCAGCAGUGGGGGAUAUUGGACAAUGGGGGAAACCCUGAUCCAGCGACGCCGCGUGAGUGAAGAAGUAUUUAGGUAUGUAAAGCUCUAUCAGCAGGGAAGACAGAAAUGACGGUACCUGAGUAAGAAGCCUCGGUUAACUACGUGCCAGCAGCCGCGGCAAUACGUAGGGGGCAAGCGUUAUCCGGAAUUACUGGGUGUAAAGGGAGCGUAGACGGUAAUGCAAGUCUGGAGUGAAAGGCGGGGGCCCAACCCCCGGACUGCACUGGAAACUGGGUAACUGGAGUGCAGGAGAGGCAGGCGGAAUUCCUGGUGUAGCGGUGAAAUGCGUAGAUAUCAGGAAGAACACCGCUGGCGAAGGCAGCCUGCUGGACUGUAACUGACGUUGAGGCUCGAAAGCGUGGGGAGCAAACAGGAUUAGAUACCCGGGUAGUC